This 301-nucleotide ribosomal RNA is filed under the name uncultured bacterium. RNAcentral's name for it is "partial 16S ribosomal RNA". It matches the Rfam family "Bacterial small subunit ribosomal RNA", at positions 509 to 808 of the family's 1533-position model. The record is from RNAcentral.
CAGUAGCCACGGUAAUACGUAGGUCCCGAGCGUUGUCCGGAUUUAUUGGGCGUAAAGCGAGCGCAGGCGGUUAGAUAAGUCUGAAGUUAAAGGCUGUGGCUUAACCAUAGUACGCCUUGGAAACUGUUUAACUUGAGUGCAAGAGGGGAGAGUGGAAUUCCAUGUGUAGCGGUGAAAUGCGUAGAUAUAUGGAGGAACACCGGUGGCGAAAGCGGCUCUCUGGCUUGUAACUGACGCUGAGGCUCGAAAGCGUGGGGAGCAAACAGGAUUAGAUACCCCCGUAGUCCCUGUCUCUUAUACC